GCCCCGGGACGAUUAGGGCAGUUGUCUAGAACCUCCGGGCCGUCAUGACCCACUCCCUGCUUGCCGUCCUGCCUCUUCAACCCGCUCACAGCAUCCCUAUGAUGGCAGCGAGUGCUGCUGCGAAGCAAUGACUGGGCAAGUCUUCUCUCGUCCUUCUCCCUCCGACUCUCCCCGCGAGUCCAGUUUCAAGCCCCGGUGCCUGGGUCCCGGUGCAGAUUCACCGCUUGCACACCCGAGGUCUAUCGCUCCGAGGGACAUCUCCAUGGGGCCAAGCCACCGCAGGGCAGCGCACGGCGUACCGUGCCCCACCACAGCGCGUCGGCGGGUCCGCGUGUAACCACAGGCUGAGAACCACCGGCGUAGGAGAACGAUGCUGGCGGCGCUGGUGGUGGAUGCAACGCGUGGUGGGCUGGGUGCGCGCGAGUUUCAAGAAGCAGGCGACGAUACAACGUUAGCCCAACGUUCCACGUUGACUGGGAGGAAAAAUACCGACAAGACGGGUCUCGACACAGCAGCGGGAGAUUUCGGACAAACAGACAAAGAGCAUGGGGGUGUGCGGGAGCCACGGAGGAACGUGUCGCGUGGCGGGAGACCUCGCCGGACACGACCAACGGCGGCGACUCCAUUGUGCGCUCUGCUCACAUUGCUGAUCGUCGUGCCAUGGCACGAGCGCGGGAGGCAACAACGGCGGGGGGAGGGGAGCGGCGCGGCGAGUGCUUGGCAGGGCAUCACAGGCCACCGCCUUAUUAUUGUUCACAGCACCCACUUGGAUAUUCACAGAAAGUCGUGCCCGUCCGCCCACGCACGCGCGCACGUGUCCCUUGACUGCUUCUUAACGGAUCUGUUUCUGUGCUGGGUCCAAUUCUGUUCUCCUUAUAUUUAAACAAUCUUGGACUAAACUUAAAUCACUCAGAAUUUUGCUGAUGACGCUGUAAGGAUAGUAUCAGGUAAUUCUCCAAACAAAAUCAAACAGAAUCUCCAAUACAAUUUCGACUUAAUUGAAUAUCAA
Non-coding RNA from Petromyzon marinus (sea lamprey), 1009 nucleotides. Lineage: Eukaryota; Metazoa; Chordata; Hyperoartia; Petromyzontiformes; Petromyzontidae. The record is from RefSeq and is a predicted model, not a curated record.